UACGUAGGGUGCAAGCGUUAAUCGGAAUUACUGGGCGUAAAGCGUGCGCAGGCGGUGAUGUAAGACAGUUGUGAAAUCCCCGGGCUCAACCUGGGAACUGCAUCUGUGACUGCAUUGCUGGAGUGCGGCAGAGGGGGAUGGAAUUCCGCGUGUAGCAGUGAAAUGCGUAGAGAUCCGGAGGAACCCCAGAGGCGAAGGCGGCCCCCUGGCUCGUACCUGACGCUCAGCCACGAAAGCAUGGGGAGCGAACGGG
RNAcentral lists this ribosomal RNA (253 nucleotides) under uncultured bacterium. RNAcentral's name for it is "partial 16S ribosomal RNA". It matches the Rfam family "Bacterial small subunit ribosomal RNA", at positions 524 to 776 of the family's 1533-position model. The record is from RNAcentral.